ACAGUCAGGGCCAGGGAGGAGCAGAAUCCUCAGAGGAAGAUGUGGAUCCUCUCCCAGACAGCCGGGAGGCAGGUGGGACACAGGGAGGAGCAGAUCCUCACUCAGACAAAGAUGUGGAUCCUCCCUCAGACAAAGAGGCGGAUCCUCCCUCAGACAAAGAUGUGGAUCCUCCCUCAGAGGAAGAUGCGGAUCCUCCCUCAGACGAAGAUGGGGAUCCUCUCCUGGAUGGCCUGUCAGCAGAUGGGGCACAGGGAGGAGCAGAAUCCUCCCUCAGACGAAGAUGUGGAUCCUCCCCUGGGUGGAGGGAGGAGCAGAUCCUCCCUCAGACGAAGAUGCAGAUCCUCCCUCAGACGAAGAUGUGGAUCCUCCCUCAGAGGAAGAGGCGGAUCCUCCCUCAGACGAAGAUGUGGAUCCUCCCUCAAAGAUGCAGAUCCUCCCUCAGACGAAGAUGUGGAUCCUCUCGCGGAUGGCCUGGCGGCAGAUGGGGCACACGGUCAGCGCCGUGCUGCAGUCCGGGCAGGAGCCGUGCCCGCACUGGAACACCAGCUUGAUCUGGUCGUCGAUGCAGAUGGGGCAGGUGAUCCUCUCCUCCAUCUGCCGGUA
This 603-nucleotide long non-coding RNA is filed under the name Zonotrichia albicollis (white-throated sparrow). Its description in RNAcentral is "lncRNA (ENSZALG00000001027.1)". Lineage: Eukaryota; Metazoa; Chordata; Aves; Passeriformes; Passerellidae. The record is from RNAcentral.